Molecule: long non-coding RNA, 375 nt
Organism: Larimichthys crocea (large yellow croaker)
Lineage: Eukaryota; Metazoa; Chordata; Actinopteri; Sciaenidae
Exons: 3
Source: RefSeq, a predicted model, not a curated record
UGCGCGGGCAAGGCGGAGAGCAGCAACACGAGCUGCAGCACCGCGGAGGCCGACAGCUGAGGCAUGACUGCGCAGCCGUCACCUGAGGACGGAACCGAGCGGCAGGUGGAUGAAGCAGGUAAUCUGCCCAAUCCCCGCAGCCCACGGAAGGAUCGGCCGGCCUUUAGCGGCUCGCCACGUCAGGAGGAGCCGAGCCAAGUGUAACUCCGGGCGGGGAAGUGGUUUGUCACGCAGUUCCGCUGUGGCAACGCAAGGGGCUCGAUGAUGUCAUACCGAGUGUGCAGAGCUGAUCGAUGGCUUUGAUGAUGCGCUCGCACUCCUCUGCACGUGUGUGGCAGCCCCAUUCGCCGUCCAUUGGGACGUACAGCAGCUCCU